RNAcentral lists this ribosomal RNA (253 nucleotides) under uncultured bacterium. RNAcentral describes it as "partial 16S ribosomal RNA". It matches the Rfam family "Bacterial small subunit ribosomal RNA", at positions 524 to 776 of the family's 1533-position model. The record is from RNAcentral.
UACGUAGGGUGCAAGCGUUGUCCGGAAUUAUUGGGCGUAAAGAGCGUGUAGGCGGCCUCGUAAGUCCACUGUGAAAGUCCAGGGCUCAACCCUGGAAAGCCGGUGGAUACUGCGAGGCUAGAGUCCGGAAGGGGCGAGUGGAAUUCCUGGUGUAGCGGUGAAAUGCGCAGAUAUCGGGAGGAACACCAGUGGCGAAGGCGACUUCCUGGCCUGUUCUUGACGCUGAGGCGCGAAAGCUAGGGGAGCAAACGGG